RNAcentral lists this long non-coding RNA (2858 nucleotides) under Megachile rotundata (alfalfa leafcutting bee). RNAcentral describes it as "uncharacterized LOC105664386, transcript variant X8". Lineage: Eukaryota; Metazoa; Arthropoda; Insecta; Hymenoptera; Megachilidae. The record is from RNAcentral.
GACAUGUAUCGAUACCGAACGCUUCUCGCGAUAUUUCAAACUAAUAUCGACAGAAAUGUCGAAACGAACAAUACGAUUGUUCGUUGUACUUGUUUCCAAUUUUCACUUCGAAACGAAUAAAUGCGCGUUUAAGAUUUAUAGCUGUACAAAUAUAACAAUAACAAAGGAAAAGAUGAUAAGAAAUAUUGUUUGAUUGAAAACAAGAUGAAAGAUGAAGAAACAAGUCGUAAGUGCCAUAAAUUCCGCGCGAAUAACGGCAUCGUUUCUGGCGAAUGCAAAGGUAAGAGUAGUGGAAUACGCACAAAUCCCAGACGUGGAAUUUCACGCUAAUUCCAAGGAAUUCCGUGCAUUGCAAAAAUGCGAAAUAUGGAAUUCCACAUUUAAUCAAAUUCCAAGGGUGGAGUACUCCACACAUUCUACGCACUCGAGUCGGCCCUUGUUACGAAGCGGAAGCAACGAAAGCUUGCUACUUCCGGUCUACGUUUCCUUCCAUUUCCUUUCUGGUCACAUAUCCUUCAUCUCUAAUUUAUUUACAACAAACAUCGAUAUUUUUAUGAAAUGACGCACAACCGAAAUUCAGAAUACAGGAUAUUUUGACUAACCUGUCCAUCUAUUAAAUUUAUUGAAGAACACUGUCUACCAUAUACCUACCUACUAGAAGAUCUGCGCAACUACCGAUUUAAUGCGAAGAAGCAAUUAUAUACCUUGCAAUCCGAAUGGUUGAAUAUUGCAAUCUGUGUUAUCGGCACUUGAAACAACUCUGACAUAAUGCUUAAAUUCGUCAUCACUUUAUCAAAACGCAAACGGUUUGCUGGAAAAUAAAUUUUUUUCCUCAACAGCAGACAAAACUUGCCGACUUACACAUGAUUUAAAAAAGGAAGUUACAAAAGUGAAUAAAUUUGAAUACAAUUCAGUAUAAAAUUAAAACUUCAGUAAAUAAAAUUCUUUUUUCAGGAAUGUAAAAGUCGUAACUAUUUUUCUAAAUGCGUACAGCAGGAUAAAAACAAGUAAAAUCAAAACAGAUUGGAAGAGUAGAAUCAACGGAUAAGCGUGCAUCAGAGGUUUCAGGAGAGCGUUUCGAGGGAUACGUUCCAACGGUGGGUCAGCAUCGACAAGGCUGUGUAUAGCAAUAUGUAACGAACAUGCAAAUACGGAGACUGUUACCGUUAAGUCGGUCGAUUUCACGAAAGCCAUGAAAGCACGUUCGAAAAUGUAUCUCAUUGGAUUGUCGCAACACGAAAGGAGAACUGAAAAUGUUCGGUACGCCAGUGUCCGGAGAAACCACGAUAAAUUCUACUUGAUCUCGCGAGGAGAAAAGAGGUCUGCAAGUUAAUAAGGAAACUAGGUUGCUCGCACCGACGCGCUAGCCGGUUUGCAGUACGCGUCGGUGUAUGCCACGCUUCGAUGCUUGUACUCAUCGCGAAAGAUCGUAACAUCACACAAGUCGGUAACCUAUCAUCCGAAAACAACGACCUUCAAGUAAUCUGUUAAACGCACGUGUCUGAAACUGAUCAACUAUUAUUUUCCGCAAGAAAGUCAACCAUGCUGUACACGAAAUUAUGCCGUGAUCUCGCCUGGUAACACGAGCGUAAAGGAUCCUCUUCAGCGGUCAAGAUUUCGUGAACAAGUACUACGGUAUACACUGCGAAUGAAUAGAGUUGAAGGGAACACCCUUUGACCCAAUCUCGUAGAUUGCAGAUUGCUUUCGUUACUACGCUUCAAAUUGACGAGCAACAAGGCUGAUGUAUUUAGUAUUUCUUCAUAACGUUCGAGGAGAUAACCUAAGGUCCUUGACUGCUCCGACCUUGAAGAUGCUCGAAAUCUCAGAGAUACUUCUCUUCCGUGAUGUGAAUGAAAUACAUGCGAAGGUCUAUGAUGCGUGUGCAUGUGUAGGUUCGUGUAAACGGGGUUGCAUCGGGGGAGCGGUCGACGGGUGGCAGACGGUUUCAUCGAUUGGCAAUGCGGGGGUCGAAGAGUGGGGUUCGUGAACCCCUCCCUCCCUGCUAUCUAUAUCUACUUUAUAACGUAUCGACGACCUCGGUUUUCAUGGUCAUGGGUAAAAAGAAACCGUUCUGACUCGAAGGGAGAGCUUGCCAGUCGGUAACGAGGAAUAUAUUUGUGCGCCUGAUGCGCAACGGAAAUGCAUUUGUCAAAACCACGCCCUUGUCGAAUCCUACCGUCCUACACUGGCGUGCACCGUAAAGCUUCUCUAGGGAAAAUGGCGAGAUGGGGGAAAAGACCACACCGGGCGUUGAUUUUUUAUUGAAAUUUGGAAAAUUCGGAGAUUUGCAUAUUUGGAAAUUUUCAACUUUAAUCUAAAAUCAAAGAUAAGUCUCUUGUUUUUAAAGGAAAACUAUAUCUGAGUAUAUCUGGAAACCGGAUGAUAGCUUUAGGGUAGCUACUCGAUUCUUUAUAUGUACAUGGCUUGUUCACUUUCGAAUUAACUCCCGUAUCAAGAUUUCCGGCGAAGGAUAAAAUGGAUGAUUCGAAAAUGAAAUGUAUAUAAAUAUAUAAAUGCACAGGACCUGUAUGGAGAUUUGACCACACCCCUCCAUUUUUGAUCAUUGAAUAAUAAACACGAUCGAUAUCGUUAAAAAUUAUUGGUCCGCGUUUAUCGGUCCGCUUGUUGAAGACAAACAGGAUGAGCAACGUAUCAACGAUGACCGCCUUCGGAUAGCUUUCAUAAUGUUAAAAACAUGUAUAUAUGUGCGAUUGUGCUACCGCCUUUCUUCAAUGUAGGAAGAAAGCCGGUCCCGGCGAAUGUACCGGUACAAUGACACCGAUACGAUUCUUUCACUCAAAGAAAAUUUAUCAGCGGACAAUUUAAACGGCGAGAUAGAAUGUAUCGCGCAAAGAGC